Molecule: non-coding RNA, 493 nt
Organism: Cervus elaphus (red deer)
Lineage: Eukaryota; Metazoa; Chordata; Mammalia; Artiodactyla; Cervidae
Source: the annotation of a RefSeq genome assembly
GGGGCUCUCCGUUUCUGAGUGAGGAGCUUCUGUAACAUCCAGGUGGAGACUAGAUUCGUUAGACUGGUGUAUUCCAGGGAACAAACACCGUUUUCUUUUGCCAGCAUGCAUUCUGUCACUCACUCAGUUCUUCUGAUCAUCUUAAUAUUCAGAGGGACCAAUGGUGACUCAGUGAACCAGACAGAAGGCCCAGUGACUGUCUCAGAGGGGGCUCUCAUGACCCUGAACUGCACUUACCAGACUGCUGGUUCAGCUCUCUAUCUGUUCUGGUACGUUAAGCAUCUCAACAAAGCUCCUCAACUCCUCCUGGAGGGCUCGACGACAAACCAGAAGCCCGAGCAUGAAGGUUUUCAGGCCACUCUUGUUAAGAAGGACAGCUCCUUCCACCUGCAGAAACAGGCAGUGCAAGCAUCAGACUCGGCUGUGUACUACUGUGCUCUGAGGGACACAGUGAUGGAGGGCUGCAGGGGGAGCUGAGCACAAACCCAGAUGC